RNAcentral lists this transfer RNA (27 nucleotides) under Spatula puna. RNAcentral's name for it is "partial tRNA-Thr". The record is from RNAcentral. Lineage: Eukaryota; Metazoa; Chordata; Aves; Anseriformes; Anatidae.
AUACUCUAAUAGUUUANAAAAAACAUU